UUCCAUGUGAACAGCAGUUGAACAUGGGUCAGUCGGCCCUAAGGAAUAGGGGAAACCCGUUCCGAAGCGGGGUGUCGUGCAGCAGAACCACGACCCCGGUAGACCGAAAGGGAAUCGGGUUAAUAUUCCCGAACCCGGAUGCGGAGAUCGGACCCUUCGGGGUCCAAUGCGGUAACGCAAACGAACUCGGAGACGUCGGCGGGAGCCCCGGGAAGAGUUGUCUUUUCUUUGUAAGGGACGGACUCCCUGGAAUCGGCUCGCCCGGAGAGAGGGAUGUUGUUCCCGUAAAGCACCGCGGCUCUUGCGGUGUCCGGAGCGCUCCCGCCGGCCCUUGAAAAUCCGAGGGAGAGAAUUUGAUUUUCGCACCGGACCGUACCCAUAUCCGCAGCAGGUCUCCAAGGUGAACAGCCUCUAGUCGAUAGAACA
RNAcentral lists this ribosomal RNA (426 nucleotides) under Cormocephalus monteithi. RNAcentral describes it as "eukaryotic LSU rRNA". It matches the Rfam family "Eukaryotic large subunit ribosomal RNA", at positions 1507 to 1897 of the family's 3401-position model. The record is from RNAcentral. Lineage: Eukaryota; Metazoa; Arthropoda; Chilopoda; Scolopendromorpha; Scolopendridae.